CGGGUGAGUAAUACAUCGGAACGUGCCCGAUCGUGGGGGAUAACGAAGCGAAAGCUUUGCUAAUACCGCAUACGAUCUACGGAUGAAAGCAGGGGACCGCAAGGCCUUGCGCGAACGGAGCGGCCGAUGGCAGAUUAGGUAGUUGGUGGGAUAAAAGCUUACCAAGCCGACGAUCUGUAGCUGGUCUGAGAGGACGACCAGCCACACUGGGACUGAGACACGGCCCAGACUCCUACGGGAGGCAGCAGUGGGGAAUUUUGGACAAUGGGCGAAAGCCUGAUCCAGCCAUGCCGCGUGCAGGAUGAAGGCCUUCGGGUUGUAAACUGCUUUUGUACGGAACGAAAAGACUCUGGUUAAUACCUGGGGUCCAUGACGGUACCGUAAGAAUAAGCACCGGCUAACUACGUGCCAGCAGCCGCGGUAAUACGUAGGGUGCAAGCGUUAAUCGGAAUUACUGGGCGUAAAGCGUGCGCAGGCGGUUAUAUAAGACAGAUGUGAAAUCCCCGGGCUCAACCUGGGAACUGCAUUUGUGACUGUAUAGCUAGAGUACGGCAGAGGGGGAUGGAAUUCCGCGUGUAGCAGUGAAAUGCGUAGAUAUGCGGAGGACACCGAUGGCGAAGGCAAUCCCCUGGGCCUGUACUGACGCUCAUGCACGA
Molecule: ribosomal RNA, 656 nt
Filed under: uncultured Acidovorax sp.
Lineage: Bacteria; Pseudomonadati; Pseudomonadota; Betaproteobacteria; Burkholderiales; Comamonadaceae
Description: bacterial SSU rRNA
Rfam family: Bacterial small subunit ribosomal RNA
Source: RNAcentral